This 302-nucleotide ribosomal RNA is filed under the name uncultured bacterium. RNAcentral describes it as "bacterial SSU rRNA". It matches the Rfam family "Bacterial small subunit ribosomal RNA", at positions 28 to 339 of the family's 1533-position model. The record is from RNAcentral.
GAUGAACGCUAGCGGCAGGCCUAAUACAUGCAAGUCAAGGGGUUCAGCAAUGGACACCGGCGGACGGGUGCGUAACACGUACACAACGUACCCAAGGGCGGGGGAAAGCGGCGGGAAACUGCCGGUAAUACCCCAUGGCGUUGUAGAAUGGCAUCAUUUUACAACUAAAGUACAAGCGCCCUUGGAUCGGUGUGCGCCCGAUUAGCUUGUUGGCGGGGUAACGGCCCACCAAGGCUUCGAUCGGUAGGGGGUGUGAGAGCAUGACCCCCCCACAUGGGUACGUGAGACACGGACCCGAACCU